Molecule: non-coding RNA, 78 nt
Organism: Myotis davidii
Lineage: Eukaryota; Metazoa; Chordata; Mammalia; Chiroptera; Vespertilionidae
Source: Rfam
GGCGGUUCUUAGGUGACACACCCUGAAAUCAGGCUCCCUCCUCUCUGGUUCCAAGGUUCACAUCACCUGAGAACCACC